UCUGAAACAUAGUUGUCCUUAUGUCAGUUAUAAGUCCAGGAAGUGUUUUUUCUUGCUUCAAAGUCACAAAUAGGCCUACUGUUGGCCACAUGUUUCUAAGGGUCACAAAAGAGUUCCCAUGUAGAUCUUUCUCUUUUCUUUCCUACCUAGGCACAACUGGAGUGCUCUCUGCUACAACAGUCUCCCCUGGGAGCUCCAACUCAGAGGCCACAACUUCUAUAGGAGAAAGUGGAAAAACAGGAGCUGAAAUAAUCACAGGUACUACUGAGGGCAUCUCUGGCAGAACUCUGGAGGCUAAAAGUGCCCCCACAGAGGCCACAACUUUCCCAGGAGGAAGUGGAACCACCCAAGCAGGACCAACCGGAGUUACCACUGGAGAAUUGUCUGGAAUGACCUUUAUAUCUGGAAGUCCUAACACAGGUAGCUUAACAAGAAAUGCCUCUUAUUUUAAUGUCAGAUGCCAUGAUUUUUUAAAGCCUUCUCUGAU
Molecule: long non-coding RNA, 487 nt
Filed under: Rhinopithecus bieti (black snub-nosed monkey)
Lineage: Eukaryota; Metazoa; Chordata; Mammalia; Primates; Cercopithecidae
Description: lncRNA (ENSRBIG00000046530.1)
Source: RNAcentral